GUGUCAGCAGCCGCGGUAAUACAGAGGCCUCGAGCGUUAGGCGGAAUCACUGGGCUUAAAGCGUGUGUAGGUGGAUGCCUAAGUGUUUUGUGAAAUCCCACGGCUUAACCGUGGAAUUGCUUGACAUACUGGGUGUCUUGAGCCACUCAGGGGCUACCGGAACUAACGGUGGAGCGGUGAAAUGCGUAGAUAUCGUUAGGAACGCCAAUGGUGAAAACAGGUAGCUGGGGGUGUGCUGACACUGAGACACGAAAGCCAGGGGAGCAAACGGGAUUAGAUACCCUCGUAGUCC
This 292-nucleotide ribosomal RNA is filed under the name uncultured bacterium. RNAcentral describes it as "partial 16S ribosomal RNA". It matches the Rfam family "Bacterial small subunit ribosomal RNA", at positions 505 to 796 of the family's 1533-position model. The record is from RNAcentral.